UACAGAGGGUGCGAGCGUUAAUCGGAGUUACUGGGCGUAAAGGGCGCGUAGGCGGUUAUUUAAGAUUGAUGUGAAAUCCCUGGGCUUAACCUAGGAACUGCAUUGAUUACUGGAUAGCUGGAGUACUGUAGAGGGUAGUGGAAUUUCCGGUGUAGCGGUGAAAUGCGUAGAGAUCGGAAGGAACACCAGUGGCGAAGGCGGCUACCUGGACAGAUACUGACGCUGAGGCGCGAGAGCGUGGGGAGCAAACAGU
RNAcentral lists this ribosomal RNA (253 nucleotides) under uncultured bacterium. RNAcentral describes it as "partial 16S ribosomal RNA". It matches the Rfam family "Bacterial small subunit ribosomal RNA", at positions 524 to 776 of the family's 1533-position model. The record is from RNAcentral.